RNAcentral lists this ribosomal RNA (497 nucleotides) under uncultured bacterium. RNAcentral's name for it is "partial 16S ribosomal RNA". It matches the Rfam family "Bacterial small subunit ribosomal RNA", at positions 28 to 507 of the family's 1533-position model. The record is from RNAcentral.
GAUGAACGCUGGCGGCGUGCCUAAUACAUGCAAGUCGAGCGAACGGACGAUAAGCUUGCUUCUCUGCUGUUAGCGGCUGACGGGUGAGUAACACGUGGAUAACCUACCUAUAAUACUUGGAUAACUUCGUGAAACCGGUGCUACUACCGGCUCAUAUUUUGAACCGCAUGGUUCAAAAGUUCAUGACGGUCUUGCUGUCACUUAUAGAUGGAUCCGCGCUGGAUUAGGUAGUUGGUAAGGUAACGGCUUACCAAGGCAACGAUGCAUAGCCGACCUGAGAGGAGGAAUAGCCAAAAUGGAACUGAAGAAAGGUCCAGAAUCCCAAGGGAAGGAAGAAGGAGGAAAAUUUCAGAAUGGGGGGAAGGCUGAACGAGGCAAACCGGGUGGGUGAAGAAGGGCUUCGGGUUGGAAAAACCUUUUGAUGAGGAAGAAAAACAGGUGUAAGAAACUGUGCAGAUCUGAAGGUACCCAAAUAAGAAGGACAGGCUAAAUUAGUG